RNAcentral lists this long non-coding RNA (679 nucleotides) under Nicotiana tabacum (common tobacco). RNAcentral's name for it is "long non-coding RNA (NTAB_LNC008502)". Lineage: Eukaryota; Viridiplantae; Streptophyta; Magnoliopsida; Solanales; Solanaceae. The record is from RNAcentral.
UAUUCUAGAUUGAGACUCAUCCCAUAGGCCGUCUCGAUCUAUGCACCUCGAGGUUAGACCUGCGGGGAAAAACAAACGAACAAAAUUUUCUGCCCCAGUUUCACUAGGGAAAAUUUUGUGAGUUAUUUGCCAGGAAGUCCAUAGAAUCAAUGAAGGAAUUGGGUCGACGAUAUCGCCACCAGGUAAGAAUACUCAGUUUAGGGUUGGAACCCUAAGGCUGGCAGAAUGGAAAUAGUUCAGUUCAGGGUUUAAAACCCUAAUGCUGACUAGCUGGGGAGAAGCUCAGUUUAGAGUUGAAAUUCUAAUGCUGACCAACUGGGGAAAAGUUCAGCUUAGGGUCGGGGCCCUAAUGCUGAUUGAAUGAAAAAAGUUCAGUUUAGGGUUUAAAACCCUAAUACUGAUUAAAGGAAAAGGUUCAGUUUAGGGUUUAAAACCCCUAAUGCUGACUGAAGGAAAGAGUUCAGUUUAGGGUUUAAAACCCUAAUACUGAUUAAAGGAAAAGGUUCCGUUUAGGGUUUAAAACCCUAAUGCUGACUAAAGGAAAAGUUCAGUUUAGGGUUUAAAACCCUAAUCCUGACUAAAUGGAAAAGUUCAGUUUAGGGUUUAAAACCCUAAUGCUGACUAAAGGAAAGAGUUCAGUUUAGGGUUUAAAACCCUAAUGCUGACUAAAGGAAAGAGU